This is an RNA transcript of Panicum virgatum (switchgrass), 3130 nucleotides long. It is a transcript of the gene named protein FLX-like 3, with no coding region annotated. The record is from RefSeq and is a predicted model, not a curated record. Lineage: Eukaryota; Viridiplantae; Streptophyta; Magnoliopsida; Poales; Poaceae. The transcript is spliced from 6 exons.
UGGUUCUCCCGUUAAACAUCUCGAGCUCGAGCUCAGAUCGACCUCGGCUGGCUCAGAAUCCUCCAGAUUUAGGUGGCAGGCUCGCUCGAUCUCGGCUCAUUGACAGCCUUCCCGCUCAGAGGGCUCAGCCGCCAGGGGCCUCAAGCCUUCAAGUUCAUCUCCUCCCUUGCUCUUCCUUCCCUGGCGGCGGCGACUGGGCGAGCGGCGGCGCCAUUUGUCCUGUCUUCGCCCAUCCCUUUGCCGGCGACGAGCGCAUCCUCCAGGCCAAGGCACCAAGCGUCAUGUCGGAAAGAGGUCGACUGCCAAGGCGUCCUAUUGGUGAUCGCAGGGGGUACAAUGAAGUCCGCCUAGUUGAGCCCAGAGGGUAUCCUGAAGCCCGUGUGGUUGAUGAACGUGUGGGUUAUCUUGACACCCGUCUGGUUGAUGGACGUAGGAGCUACCCUGGUGUUCGUAUGGUUGAUGACCAUAGGGGCUAUUCUGCCAUUCGCAUUGAUGACUGUAGGGCAUAUCCUGACAUCCAUGAAGGCCCACGCAUGAGGGGAGCUCCUCACCCUCACCCAGCUGUUCUAGAGGAAGAGCUUGAGUCACUGGAACUUGAACUCCGGAGGCUUUUGGCAGAUAACCGUGCUCUGGCUGAGGAGCAUGAAGAUUUAAACAGGGAAUUACAAGCUGGAAAAGAUGAGAUCCGCCACUUGAACAUGAUCAUUUCAGACAUUACUGCUGAGAAGGAGGCUUAUAUCAGUAAGCUUGUGGACAAGAAGAGGAAGCUUGAAGCUGAACUUAGAGCAAAUGAGCACUUACGAGAUGAGAUUGUGCAGCUUCGUGGUGAAAUUGAGAAGCUCAUUGGUGCUAGGAAAGAACUCUCUGCAGAGGCUGCAUCUCUCAUGGAAGAUCUGACCAGGGAAAGAUCUGUUAAGCAGCAGCUACCUAUGCUGAAAGCAGAGCUUGAUGGUCUGCAACAGGAACUUAUUCAUGUGAGGACUGCUUGUGAACUAGAGCGAAAAGGGAAUUUUGAGUUGGUGGAACAAAGGAAGGCUAUGGAGAAGAAUAUGAUUUCUAUGGCACAAGAGAUUGAACAGAUGCGAGCUGAAUUUGCUAAAUGUGAAGUGAGACCAUGGGGUACAGGUGGAACAUAUGGGAUGCAGAUGGGCAGCCCUGAAGUGGCCUUCACUAAGUCAUAUGAAGAUGGUUAUAAUAUCCAUGCGGGGGUUUCUGAGAAAGGUCCUCUGCAUCCUCCUGAAUCUGGUCCAUGGGGGACUUAUGACAAGAAUCGCCUUCAGUACCGCUAAGAUCACAAUUAUUAUAAUCAUGGGAGAAAGAGUUACCUUCUAAGUGUUAACCUGUCAUGUCACAUACUCACAUGGGUGAAAUCCUUAGUUGUUCGGGUUAUGAACUGUAAUGGCGAUACCCUAUAUCAAGAUAUGUACACAGUAACCCAAGACUCAGAUGGAUUAUCAGUUGGAGAUAUGAGAAACACAAACACCCUCAUGGAAUCAUAUGAAGGCACAGAAGCACAACAUCAAAUGUUGCAAUACUUGACGGAACAUGAAUGUGACACCACCAUAGGUGACUUGGUUCAUAAGCAGGCAUUAUUUUGUUGCAGUUCCCUAUAUGGAGCAUGUGAAAAUGCUUUUCAGUGCAUCAAAGCUGGGGAACUUUGGUUCACUUGGAAGCCUUUGCCCCAUGUCAUAUCAUGAUUUCCUCUGUGUAGGAAAAAUGAGAAUAGGCUGCUGCAAAUGAGAGCUUACAGUUUUCUUCAUUGAUCGGUUAGCUUGUGUCAGGCCUUCAAAUUUCCAAGCUAAACAUAUUCAGGGUGUUUAGCUGCCUGCCCCUUUUGCUCCUGGAACAAAUCAGUUCAGUGUCUUGAUUAGUUAUUUAUUUUCAAUAUCUGGAUGAACCUACCUGCUUAUAGAGCAAUGGAGCUUGAGAUUUGAGAUCAGUAGAGCAAUGUGAGCUUCUGUAAUCAGGAAUAUGAGCAAAGCAAAAGACUGGAUGCAAGAGCACGUAUGGGUUGAACAGAGUCCAUAACUUGCGGAUGUGACUGAAGCCAGAAUGUGGCAUUGAGGGUGCUGAUACUGUUAGUUUGUCAUUUUUUUCCUCAAAACUGUUGUUAUGACUGCACUCAUGGUUGUCAUGGCCAAACAAAGUUAGAUGCCAUAGGACCUGCCCAUGGAACAUGUUGCCAGCAAGCUAUGUACGGUAUUAUCAUGUUUAUGCUGCUUGCUUUUGCUGUGGUACCUCCACUAAAGCUUUGCCUGGUGUGGUCAAGGAGGCUGUUUAUUGGAAAGUUCAGGAAGGUUUUGUACGUGUAAAAACAGAAUGGAAAGUGCACACGAAGCUGUCUAGCAAAAGGGAAACCGAGGAUUUACAGCUCCAUGCAGUGUCCCCGAUGCGUCACAGUUUGCAUCAUUCGACUUUGGUAGUUAUCUGCCGUGUCUGCAAAUUCACAUUCACUGGCCUGAACAUAUCGUUUUCUGAAUUCAACUCCACAGGUGUGAGGUGUUUGGUCCCAUUCUUGGAAAGUAUCGGAGACUGACAAUGACAAAAUGGUAAUGACCUCAUGGAUCAUCCUCGUUUUUUUUUGUUGAAAACAUGGAUCAUCCUCUGUUGGCACUGGCCAUGCGCAAUCGUUCUAUAUGGACUGACUGAAAGUAAAAUGCCCAAUCAGCGCCUUCUCUCGUUGUUCCUAUAAUUUGUACAAUUUUACCCAUUGUUCCAAAGGCUCCACAGAAAAAAUUUCCCUACAGGACUGAAUCCUCUUAAAUUUCUCUGAUUGAACUCCAAUCCCAAGGGAGGCCAUUUAUUCUUAAAUUAAUCAUCACCGAAUGAUUUAAGCUCUUUGACCUUAUGGUUGUAUUGAAGCUGCAGAAAAGGGUUGUAUUGUAGUGGAACUCUGGGACGGAUAGCAACUAGGGGUGAAAACGGUCGGGGUAAAUCCCGUUCCGUUCCGCUCCAACUUCUACAUUUUAUCUCUUCGUUUUCGUAUUUUCGGACAAAUUCGAAAUUGGUAUGAAAUACGGGAUGUCAAAUUUGGAAACGUGAUGGAAACGGUUUGGUUUGUAUCCCGAUUGUUUUCAUAUUUUCUGUAUUUUAUCAGAAUAUCCCGUUUUUACUAAUGUUUUUACUACUA